AGACGUUGAUCCUGGCUCAGAACGAACGCUGGCGGCGUGCUUAAGACAUGCAAGUCGGACGGUAAGGCACCUUCGGGUGUACACGAGUGGCGCACGGGUGAGUAACGCGUGGGUAAUCUGCCCUCUCGUCUGGGACAACUCCGGGAAACUGGAGCUAAUACCGGAUGAGCCCACAGGAUCUUCGGGUCCAGCGGGAAAAGAUGGCCUCUUCUUGAAAGCUAUCGCGAGGGGAUGAGCCCGCGUCCCAUUAGUUUGUUGGUGGGGUAACGGCCUACCAAGGCGACGAUGGGUAGCUGGUCUGAGAGGAUGAUCAGCCACACUGGAACUGAGACACGGUCCAGACUCCUACGGGAGGCAGCAGUCGGGAAUUUUGGGCAAUGGGCGAAAGCCUGACCCAGCAACGCCGCGUGAGGGAUGAAGGCCCUCGGGUCGUAAACCUCUGUCGGGAGGGAAGAACGUUUUCCGGGCGAAUAGUCCGGGAGGCUGACGGUACCUCCAAAGGAAGCGCCNGCUAACUNCGUGCCAGCAGCCCGCGGUAAUACCGGAGGGC
RNAcentral lists this ribosomal RNA (550 nucleotides) under uncultured delta proteobacterium. RNAcentral's name for it is "bacterial SSU rRNA". It matches the Rfam family "Bacterial small subunit ribosomal RNA", at positions 8 to 533 of the family's 1533-position model. Lineage: Bacteria; Deltaproteobacteria. The record is from RNAcentral.